AACGAACGCUGUCGGCAUGCCUAACACAUGCAAGUCGAACGAAGCCUUCGGGCUUAGUGGCGCACGGGUGCGUAACGCGUGGGAAUCUGCCCUUGGGUUCGGAAUAACAGUUAGAAAUGACUGCUAAUACCGGAUGAUGUCUUCGGACCAAAGAUUUAUCGCCCAAGGAUGAGCCCGCGUAGGAUUAGGUAGUUGGUGGGGUAAUGGCCCACCAAGCCGACGAUCCUUAGCUGGUCUGAGAGGAUGAUCAGCCACACUGGGACUGAGACACGGCCCAGACUCCUACGGGAGGCAGCAGUGGGGAAUAUUGGACAAUGGGCGAAAGCCUGAUCCAGCUAUGCCGCGUGAGCGAUGAAGGCCUUAGGGUUGUAAAGCUCUUUUACCAGGGAUGAUAAUGACAGUACCUGGAGAAUAAGCUCCGGCUAACUCCGUGCCAGCAGCCGCAGUAA
RNAcentral lists this ribosomal RNA (449 nucleotides) under uncultured bacterium. RNAcentral describes it as "partial 16S ribosomal RNA". It matches the Rfam family "Bacterial small subunit ribosomal RNA", at positions 29 to 523 of the family's 1533-position model. The record is from RNAcentral.